CCUACGGGUGGCAGCAGUGGGGGAUAUUGCACAAUGGGGGAAACCCUGAUGCAGCGACGCCGCGUGGGUGAAGAAGCGCCUCGGCGCGUACAGCCCUGUCAGCAGGGAAGAAAAUGACGGUACCUGAAGAAGAAGCCCCGGCUAACUACGUGCCAGCAGCCACGGUAAUACGUAGGGGGCAAGCGUUAUCCGGAUUUACUGGGUGGAAAGGGGGCGCAGACGGCGAUGCAAGACAGGAGUGAAAGCCCGGGGCCCAACCCCGGGACUGCUCUUGGAACUGCGUGGCUAGAGGGCAGGAGGGGCAGGCGGAAGUCCUGGUGUAGCGGUGAAAUGCGUAGAUAUCAGGAGGAACACCGGUGGCGAAGGCGGCCUGCUGGACUGCAACUGACGUUGAGGCCCGAAAGCGUGGGGAGCAAACAGGAUUAGAUACCCUUGUAGUC
RNAcentral lists this ribosomal RNA (440 nucleotides) under uncultured bacterium. RNAcentral describes it as "partial 16S ribosomal RNA". It matches the Rfam family "Bacterial small subunit ribosomal RNA", at positions 338 to 795 of the family's 1533-position model. The record is from RNAcentral.